UGAGGGGGAACACCAAGGUUUUGAUACAAAGUAUGGAAACAAGGGCUGAUGAGAUGGAAGCACUCCUGGAAGCCUGACAAGCUCCACACAGUCCUACAGCGUUCCACCAUGUAAAAUCAGGCCUUCAUUUUGAACUUGGAAAUCUCCUCACUUGCAGGCAGUGGCAAUGCCAGCAAGCCACAGGUGGGCACCACAUGAGCAGGU
RNAcentral lists this long non-coding RNA (204 nucleotides) under Pan troglodytes (chimpanzee). RNAcentral describes it as "long non-coding RNA NONPTRT010778". Lineage: Eukaryota; Metazoa; Chordata; Mammalia; Primates; Hominidae. The record is from RNAcentral.